This 270-nucleotide long non-coding RNA is filed under the name Mytilus galloprovincialis (Mediterranean mussel). Lineage: Eukaryota; Metazoa; Mollusca; Bivalvia; Mytilida; Mytilidae. The record is from RNAcentral.
UAGGGGCACGAGACGUUGGUGGGACAGAGAUAUAAAAGCAAGUGCACAACAGUCUUCAGAUAGACUGCGGCCCGCUACCAGGGCAGUCACUCCUGAUACCAAGGAACUUACCAAGGCAAACCAAAAGUGCCGCUGGCGCAGUCGAUGCAAUGCAUAUACCUUGCUAUUGUAUGCAUCCCCGUUGAAUUAAUGGACCAAACCAUAAUUGACCUAGAUGUUUUACUACGUUUACUACGAUGUUGACAAACGAUUAACGUACCAAAAAGGGGG